CCCCAGACUCCUACGGGAGGCAGCAGUGGGGAAUAUUGCACAAUGGGGGAAACCCUGAUGCAGCGACGCCGCGUGAGUGAAGAAGUAUUUCGGUAUGUAAAGCUCUAUCAGCAGGGAAGAAAAUGACGGUACCUGACUAAGAAGCCCCGGCUAACUACGUGCCAGCAGCCGCGGUAAUACGUAGGGGGCAAGCGUUAUCCGGAUUUACUGGGUGUAAAGGGAGCGUAGACGGCAUGGCAAGUCAGAUGUGAAAGCCCGGGGCGCAACCCCGGGACUGCAUUUGAAACUGUCAGGCUGGAGUGCAGGAGAGGUAAGUGGAAUUCCUAGUGUAGCGGUGAAAUGCGUAGAUAUUAGGAGGAACACCAGUGGCGAAGGCGGCUUACUGGACUGUAACUGACGUUGAGGCUCGAAAGCGUGGGGAGCAAACAGGAUUAGAUACCCCGGUAGAA
Molecule: ribosomal RNA, 449 nt
Filed under: uncultured bacterium
Lineage: Bacteria
Description: bacterial SSU rRNA
Rfam family: Bacterial small subunit ribosomal RNA
Source: RNAcentral